Molecule: long non-coding RNA, 672 nt
Organism: Anastrepha ludens (Mexican fruit fly)
Lineage: Eukaryota; Metazoa; Arthropoda; Insecta; Diptera; Tephritidae
Exons: 3
Source: RefSeq, a predicted model, not a curated record
CGAGUAUACAUACGAGCAAGUAAAUAAGCAAAGAGAGUGGGCAGCGCCGCAAAUGCUCCAAAGCUACGCGUACAGAUACUGCGCUGACAGAUAGCUGGCUGACAAUGAAGGGGAAUUAACCUAUGACAACAGCAACAACGAAUAUGCCAAAUGCAGGCAAUGAUGAAUGAACGCACACAAAUACAGGCACAACAACAACUACGAAAAGAAGAACUAAACAUAAUCAUGCAAUAAGUGCUCGUAAUAAUAAUAAACAACCGAACGUCACUUAACGGGAAGACAUCAAUUUUGAUUCUUGAAUCGGCGCAAUGGCGUUUGCCGUAAGGCAUAUACCCGUACUACAAAAACAGUAAUAAUAACAACAACAUGUCCAUGGAAAAAGCUGUAAUAGAGAUGACGCAGACAUCGUUGACGACAUUGACAAAUGACAAGAUGGACAGUGCAGUGCCAACACGCCCUUCCUUGCGAACAACUUCAAAAAGUUCAACCGAAAAUCUUUGUACUGGCUAACAGAACCACUGCAUGCAGAGUGGCUCAUUUGCUGCUGGAAUGUCAUAUUUCAAAAAAGCAAAACAUCGAGGAAAACCACAGUUUUUAAUCUACUAUUCAAAAAAUUUUCGUCAGAAUUUCACACUUUUUACCAGAUUCGUUAGAAAAAUAUCGAGUACGGGA